GAGAGCAUACGGGGAACUGAUUUAUCGAUUUUUAUAGACAGGUAGAUAAAUGAAUGGAUAGGUAGUCGAUCGACUGAUGGAUAGAAAGUAGGAGAGGGGUGUCUUCGUGGAGGAGCUCCUAAGGGUCACUGGCUCGUAUACAAAUUACACAUGGGUAAAACCACCCAAACGCCCAUGCAGCCAGCACGUUUGCAGGAUUCGGACCCCGGACCGAACUACGACUGUUCAACAAUUUUACCACUCGGCUGCUGGUGGGCUGGAGACAAGUAAGCAGAUAGGUAG
Long non-coding RNA from Stegodyphus dumicola, 282 nucleotides. The record is from RefSeq and is a predicted model, not a curated record. NCBI's taxonomy places the organism in Eukaryota, Metazoa, Arthropoda, Arachnida, Araneae, Eresidae.